Molecule: small nuclear RNA, 307 nt
Filed under: Sorex araneus (European shrew)
Lineage: Eukaryota; Metazoa; Chordata; Mammalia; Eulipotyphla; Soricidae
Description: 7SK RNA (ENSSARG00000016747.1)
Rfam family: 7SK RNA
About the family: 7SK was discovered as an abundant small nuclear RNA in the mid-70s but a possible function has only recently been suggested. Two independent studies have found that 7SK RNA binds the CDK9/cyclin T complex (known as elongation factor P-TEFb). P-TEFb activates transcription by phosphorylating the C-terminal domain of RNA polymerase II.
Source: RNAcentral
GGAUGUGAGGGUGAUCUGGCUGCAACAUCUGUCACCCCAUUGAUUGUCAGGGUUGAUUCGGCUAAUCUGGCUGGCUAGGUGGGUGUCCCCUUUCUUCCUCACCACUCCAUGUGCUUCCCUCCCAAAGCUGCACGCUUGGUCGAGGAGGAUGGCCUUUGCCAAAUAUAGAUGGACCGGUCUUCCAUCGAGGAUAUAUGAGUAGCUGUGCUCCCCUGCUAGAACCUCCAUCACAAUAUCAACAGGUACAAAAUCAGAAGGGAGGAAUAAGUUCAAAACAAAACAAGUCAAGGAUGGGUUCUCCAACUUU